Molecule: long non-coding RNA, 1836 nt
Filed under: Gallus gallus (chicken)
Lineage: Eukaryota; Metazoa; Chordata; Aves; Galliformes; Phasianidae
Description: lncRNA (ENSGALG00010010316.1)
Source: RNAcentral
CCGCGAAGCUCCCGGCUCGCUCGAAAUUUGUUGCAUUUCCUCGAUUGAUUGUUUAGUUAGAGAUUUUGCCAACUUCCUGAUGGUUCAGUUUUGUGAUUCUGCGAAAAGAACCGCAUUUCCUUUUUGACUUAAGAGGGAGAGAGAGGAGGGAGAGGAGCGGAGGCUGGGGGCUGGCGGACUCAUCGAGCUGGGUACAGCAGGGAUUCACAACAUCGGUUCUCAACCUUUCCCUUAUUUCUUCAUGGGAGGAAGUGAAGUGGCAAGGCUCCCAGCUAGACACAUUUGUCGUCUCAGUGUGGAGGAAUAAUUGGAGCACGGCUCCUGUUAGGGAGUUGUGCAAAAGGAACCUUCUUCAGAUCUUUCUUUUUCUUUUCUCUUUCUUUUUCUUUUUCUUUUUCUUUUUUUUUUUUUUCCAGAAACAAAGAUUUAAAAGUGCAGCUCCAGUUUAAACACCCCUUAUAGCCAGACAGCAAAGCUGUGGACAAUCAAUGGAUGUACUUUUAUGUGCAUGCAGCAGAUAAUGUCAUUUACGAGCACAGAAGGCUUCUGGGCUCUGCAACAGCUGGUGGUAUGACAGAGGUCUCAUUCCUGAUGUGCAAAGGGGAGCUGGCAUGAAUGGAACAGGUGGAAGAUGGGGAGAACAAUUCAACCCAGAUCUCUGACUCCUCACUGCAUCCAAAUGUGGUGAAGUUCCAAACAGCACUGAUGCAAGAGAGUUCUGCUUGUCCUGGCCUGAUCAUGAAUGAUCCUGACACCCUCUGACUUUUUCCUGUAACAAAUAUUUAGGGAGAAAUGAAAGAAUUUGAAUAAAUGGUACGAAAAAAUGGAGAUCUAAAAUACAGGACACCAUUGUAUAGAUGGGGAAAAGAUUUAAUGCAACACUGACCACUUUCCUCAUGUAUGUGAGUCCACUUGUCAUGAGGUUACUCCCUGAUAUUUUGCCCAGUGGAGAAUACGGAGAGUGGGAAAGAGCAAAUCUUUCCCAGGGAGGAGUAAAACUCAAACCUCAGCUUCUCAAACAGACAGAAGGAACAAGGAGGGAUGAUGCCAUGCAGAGAGAGAUUCCCCGGCCAUUUAUUGCACUCUGUUGCUUCCUUGGCGAGGGCAGUGCAGAUGGGGACAACCAAAGCACCCUGUUCCUCCUGUGCUCCCUCUGAGCUCCUGCUGAGCUGUGUUGUGAUAUCUAUCACAGGGCGUCCAUAUCCUAACACUCCCCUUGUCCUUUACCUUGUUUAGCCUUUUCGCCAUCAUGAAAUAAUGUUCACAAUGGCAAGAACACAAAAUAGCUCAUAAUGUGCCUCAAACUGUGAGAAAAGCGCAUUCGAUCCUCCCCAAACACAGACCUGCUCACUUCAAAGGCGGCAAUAUUUUGAUAGUAAUCAACAUCGCGUUUUCUUCCCUUUCCUGGCCCAACGUGUCUAUUUGCUCAGGCACUCUUUCCGUCCAUCCAGAAAAUUCAAUGUGUCCAAAGCACACACGGGGCUGAGCAAUGAUCCCAGGCAAUGCCUGAGCAAAGCAGCCCCAGGUAUGAUCCCAGUGACCUGGCUGCUAUAGUGCUGCCACCCCAUGGCAUGGGAUUUGCUCCUGGGUUGUUUUAUUUGUGGCUAAAACACUAAGUGAGUGAAGAAACAUCCUCUCUGCCUUAGAGACAGUGAAAUAGGAACAAACAACAGAAUUACAGUCUCAACAUGUGAUCUAUAGCUCCCUGGAGGAAGAUGUCCCUCACGCCAUCCCCAUACAUGGCACAUCUUCAAAUGAUGGACUGGGGAGAACCGACUAUCUUCAGUUCUCAGAUACUGUGAUAAAUGAUUAAUAAAGAAUCAGAUUGAAACCAAA